RNAcentral lists this ribosomal RNA (251 nucleotides) under uncultured prokaryote. RNAcentral describes it as "partial 16S rRNA". It matches the Rfam family "Archaeal small subunit ribosomal RNA", at positions 475 to 726 of the family's 1478-position model. The record is from RNAcentral.
ACCGGCAGCUCAAGUGGUGGCCAUUAUUAUUGGGCCUAAGCGUUCGUAGCCGGUUUGAUAAGUCUCUGGUGAAAUCCCGCAGCUUAACUGUGGGACUUGCUGGAGAUACUAUCAGACUUGAGGUCGGGAGAGGUUAGGGGUACUCCCAGGGUUGGGGUGAAAUCCUAUGCUACUGGGCGGAGCAACUGUGGCGAAGGCGGAUAACUGGAGCGAUCCUGACCGUGAGUAACGAAAGCGAGGGGCGCGAAACG